This 400-nucleotide ribosomal RNA is filed under the name Sphingomonas sp. E198. Its description in RNAcentral is "bacterial SSU rRNA". It matches the Rfam family "Bacterial small subunit ribosomal RNA", at positions 29 to 456 of the family's 1533-position model. The record is from RNAcentral. Lineage: Bacteria; Pseudomonadati; Pseudomonadota; Alphaproteobacteria; Sphingomonadales; Sphingomonadaceae.
AACGAACGCUGGCGGCAUGCCUAACACAUGCAAGUCGAACGAAGGCUUCGGCCUUAGUGGCGCACGGGUGCGUAACGCGUGGGAAUCUGCCCUUGGGUUCGGAAUAACAGUGAGAAAUUACUGCUAAUACCGGAUGAUGACUUCGGUCCAAAGAUUUAUCGCCCAAGGAUGAGCCCGCGUAAGAUUAGCUAGUUGGUGAGGUAAAGGCUCACCAAGGCGACGAUCUUUAGCUGGUCUGAGAGGAUGAUCAGCCACACUGGGACUGAGACACGGCCCAGACUCCUACGGGAGGCAGCAGUGGGGAAUAUUGGACAAUGGGCGAAAGCCUGAUCCAGCAAUGCCGCGUGAGUGAUGAAGGCCUUAGGGUUGUAAAGCUCUUUUACCAGGGAUGAUAAUGACA